UAUUUUACCACAUCAUUUUACAAUACAUCUUACAUCACAUGUUUUAUUAUUUGAUUCUAAACAUUAAAAUAAUAUAUACAACACAUUAAAUAAUAUAUUAACUCAAAACCCAGCCAAUAUACAAACACACAACAGCCAGUGGCAGUCACCACCUAUCAAGAACCAACAAACACUGCUACAGCCAUCGCCACAACCAAGAGCUUCCUCUACCACCCAAAAUACAACUCAAAACAAACACAACCAUAUACCCACAACAAACCCAUUACUAAACCACCACCAGUGGCAAAUCAACCGCCACAAACUACAACCACAAUCACUGGAUACUCCAACAAAUUCCAAAUCCAAAAACCUCAAAAAAAGAAAAAAAAAAAAAAAAAGAGAGAAUAAAACUCAACCAAUUACAGCCACAAACACCACUGGCCCAAAACUCAACCAACCAUCGGCCUAAAACCCAGCCCAACCGACCCAAAACCUCGACCCACAACCCAAACAAUGCCAAUCCAAAAUGCCGAAUUCACAACCCACACAACCACUGCUGAAUCCACCAUCAAAUCACAAAAAAAAAAAAAAAAAAAGUGGAGAUUUGUUAUGUGAUUUUUUUGUAGAAGUAGAAUUGAGCUAUUGAACAUAUUUUAUAUUUGUGCUCGUUCUCUAAUUGGAUAUGGUGUGCUGUUUUAAAGUUUUCUUUUCAAUAGAAGAAUUGGAAGUUGGCUUGAGGAGAUUCAUUGAGCUGUGAAAGAGCUUAAAGGAAAAGUUUUCAACAGUUGAUUGGGAGGGUGGCAUGGGUUGCUGUGUUAAGCUGUAUAUGGAUGAGGCAUAAUGCUAGAAUUCAUACAAACAGAGCUUGUUCUGAAUGUAAAAUUCUUAAAAGAUAUUUAAGAAGGAUGUUAGAUACAAGUUAAUAGUCACAUGGGAUGAACCUGAAGUUCUGCAUAAUGCCAAGGGAGUGAGUCCUUGGCAAGUUGAGGUUCUUUCACCAACAGCACCUGUCCACACUGCAUUAACCCCCACAAAGAAAUUCAGAACCCCUCAGAGCUCUGGUCAGCUAACUGAUGGAGAGGGUGAUCUUUUCUUUCCUUUCUCAGGAUAUACUAAUUCAACAAUGGGACACAUGAGCCAAACAUUGUUGAAUUAUAACACUUUUCCUGCUAGCAUGCAGGGAGCCAGGCAAAAUCUAUUCAGCAAAUCCAGUUUAUCCAACUUCAUAAGUGAAAACAAUAUGUGCAUUGAUAAUUCCUUUGGCAACAACACGGUGCCAAAGUUGAAAAGUGUGUCUACUGAGCUGAAUAUUGGAAGUUUACAGUCUGAAAACUUAUCACCUGAUAGCCAGAGUAGUAUGCACUCCCCCUUUGGAACUGAAUUCGUUGGAACCCAAUACUGCAGCUCACCAAAAGUUGGUACUGGGUCCUUUCAGUUGUUUGGUAAGAUUAUUCAUACGAAUCAACCUGUUGAAAGUGGGUUCGAUGACAUUGGUUGUGCAGAAGAUGAUGGCAGUAAGGGGUACAAUGAAACUGAUGAUGUAAACAACCCACUAGAUCAUUCUUUGAAUUACACAAAACUGCUUGACAGGCUUGAUGUUCAAUGCCAGAGAGCCUCAGCUGUCGGGGCAUGUAAUUUGUGAACUAGUGGUUGCAUCUAUGUCAUGCAGAUAAAUAGCUGUACAGGUACUUAAGGCAGGCAGGAGGAAGCUGAUUACCAUUUGACUCUUCCAGUGGUCACUUCAUUAUGUUGGUUUAUUUUAGUUUUGCUAUGUUGGGAACUUGAAACUGUGGUAGACUUGGUUUUGGUUGUUUAACUCAAGGGUGAGAUGUCAGUGUGAGAGAUGUUAUACAAUAUUUCUAAUUCCUGUAGUUUGCCGUAUUUGUGGUUAUUUGGUCUUAUUUGGUUG
Long non-coding RNA from Quercus robur (English oak), 1888 nucleotides. RefSeq lists it as uncharacterized. Lineage: Eukaryota; Viridiplantae; Streptophyta; Magnoliopsida; Fagales; Fagaceae. The transcript is spliced from 3 exons. The record is from RefSeq and is a predicted model, not a curated record.